GAGCAAGCACUAAUCAGCUUAGAGAAAGGAUCACUCAUUCCUCAGAAAGAAGCAGACACAGAACAAAUGCUGUCUCUUUUGCAAGGAGCUUUUGGAACAAAGGAGCAGGCAAAUUGCACCAAACAGCCUAUAGUCUUCAAAAGGGAGGAACGAUGAAGCCUUUGCUGUAUAGCUUCUUUCUGCAGGCUUUUGAAGUCUCUUAGGUGGUGUUCGCUGUAGUGGAAUGGUGCGGGUUCUACACAGGUGCUUGGAAGCUGGAAUGAAAAUUGUAGCAUAAAUAUUCAUUGCAUUUCUUAUAGUUUCUUUCCAUUGCCACACCAGUAUGCAUUUGUGUGCUAUGUAUUAAAUUCUCACUCUGGACUUUGAUACCAAUGCUCUUUUUGGUUCAGUGAAACCAGGAGUCUCCUGAAGGCAUCAAUUUCCCUGUAUUUCAAUGUCUGACCCCUAAUAUUUCUUGCAGAAACAGCUGCAAAAUGGUUAAGAAUGUCAUUUUAUAGUGUUACUGCUCUAAGGUAUGUAUAAUUUUCUAGGAGGAAAAGAAUGUUCUUUGUGCUGAACUAUAUCACACUAAUUUUUAGCCAGAGGAUACAUUCUUUUUUUAAGUUUAGCAAGAUUUUAUUUUCAUAUGAGAAGUGUCCUGGAAAACAGAUGAUUUUCCUAAGUUAUAAAAAUUGUCUUGAUAUUUUUAUAUCCUUCACCAGGUUUUACUCAGUUUUCCACAUUGUGAGGCUAUGGAAAAAUACAAUGAAAACUUUGAAGAAGGUGGAAACAUCUGAAAAAUCAUUGGCAAAUUAUUACAGAUUCCCUGCCAGCAAUUCCAGUGCUACUCUUCAAGAGAACAAACUGGAUUUAAAGCUUUUAAUGAGACAGCAAAUGGCAGAUUGUUUCCCCUCACUUUUCAUGCUGCUAAACUCUGCUGGAAGAUGCAGCAAUGGAAGUCCAGAAAAAAUGAUUCGUGCAGAGCAUGGUUACGUAUACAACAUGCACAAACUCUUUAAAGAGCAAGUGAAGACUGCAAAGUUAGGAACUGCCAGAUGA
This 1038-nucleotide long non-coding RNA is filed under the name Apteryx owenii (little spotted kiwi). Its description in RNAcentral is "lncRNA (ENSAOWG00000001490.1)". The record is from RNAcentral. Lineage: Eukaryota; Metazoa; Chordata; Aves; Apterygiformes; Apterygidae.